GGAGCUCGCACUGCUGGCCAACAGGGCACGGCGCCCAGGAUGCGCAUUGAGUUCCUCUCGCGGGCUGCUGGGAGUCGAGGAUCUCUCCCGACUGCGGCCUCAGGUCUGAGCGCUGAAGCUCUGAGAGAUGGUAUUUCCAGUAUGAAUUUCCACCAGCAGUGCAUGAGAGUUCUGAAUUCCCUACAUUCUUUCUACACUUACGGUCCACUCUAACAAAGGCCAACACUUACCUGAAAGAAAUUGAUGUCCCUUCCUAAAAUUCAUAUUCUUUCCUCUCUGAAAGGAAGCAAACUGGCAGAAAAUAAGUAAUUUCAUUUAAAUUAAAUGACUGGAAAUUAUAUAGAAGAGUCUGGAGAAAAUGAAAGGACGAUUUUUAAAGACAAAUUAUAAUAAAAGGAUUCGGGUCUUCCCUGGUGGAGCAGUGGUUAAGAAUCCUCCUGCCAAUGCAAGUGACACAGGU
Molecule: non-coding RNA, 460 nt
Organism: Delphinapterus leucas (beluga whale)
Lineage: Eukaryota; Metazoa; Chordata; Mammalia; Artiodactyla; Monodontidae
Source: RefSeq, a predicted model, not a curated record